CAUGGGCACCUGAUCCUUCAAUGCCGCGUGAGUGAAGAAGGCCUUCGGGUUGUAAAGCUCUUUUGUCAGGGAAGAAACACCGGCUCUAACACAGUCCGGGAAUGACGGUACCUGAAGAAUAAGCACCGGCUAACUACGUGCCAGCAGCCGCGGUAAUACGUAGGGUGCGAGCGUUAAUCGGAAUUACUGGGCGUAAAGCGUGCGCAGGCGGUUAUACAAGACAGGCGUGAAAUCCCCGGGCUUAACCUGGGAAUGGCGCCUGUGACUGUAUGGCUAGAGUGUGUCAGAGGGGGGUAGAAUUCCACGUGUAGCAGUGAAAUGCGUAGAUAUGUGGAGGAAUACCAAUGGCGAAGGCAGNCCCCUGGGAUAACACUGACGCUCAUGCACGAAAGCGUGGGGAGCAAACAGGAUUAGAUACCCUGGUAGUCCACGCCCUAAACGAUGCUGACUAGUUGUUCGGGACUUACAUCCUGAGUAACGUAGCUAACGCGUGAAGUCAGNCGCCUGGGGAGUACGGGCGCAAGAUUAAAACUCAAAGGAAUUGACGGGGAACCGGACAAGCGGUGGAUGAUGUGGAUC
RNAcentral lists this ribosomal RNA (579 nucleotides) under uncultured bacterium. RNAcentral describes it as "bacterial SSU rRNA". It matches the Rfam family "Bacterial small subunit ribosomal RNA", at positions 370 to 947 of the family's 1533-position model. The record is from RNAcentral.